Molecule: ribozyme, 73 nt
Filed under: Crocodylus porosus (Australian saltwater crocodile)
Lineage: Eukaryota; Metazoa; Chordata; Crocodylia; Crocodylidae
Description: Mammalian CPEB3 ribozyme (ENSCPRG00005006961.1)
Rfam family: Mammalian CPEB3 ribozyme
About the family: The mammalian CPEB3 ribozyme is a self cleaving RNA located in the second intron of the CPEB3 gene which belongs to a family of genes regulating messenger RNA polyadenylation.
Source: Rfam by way of RNAcentral
ACAAGCUUGAGUGCCAUAGGAGAAGUGCUCAUGGUGUGGCCUGUCAGGUUCCAACGAAUCUGCAAAUUCUGCU